This 765-nucleotide ribosomal RNA is filed under the name Acinetobacter baumannii OIFC083. Its description in RNAcentral is "bacterial SSU rRNA". It matches the Rfam family "Bacterial small subunit ribosomal RNA", at positions 28 to 787 of the family's 1533-position model. Lineage: Bacteria; Pseudomonadati; Pseudomonadota; Gammaproteobacteria; Moraxellales; Moraxellaceae. The record is from RNAcentral.
AUUGAACGCUGGCGGCAGGCUUAACACAUGCAAGUCGAGCGGGGGAAGGUAGCUUGCUACCGGACCUAGCGGCGGACGGGUGAGUAAUGCUUAGGAAUCUGCCUAUUAGUGGGGGACAACAUCUCGAAAGGGAUGCUAAUACCGCAUACGUCCUACGGGAGAAAGCAGGGGAUCUUCGGACCUUGCGCUAAUAGAUGAGCCUAAGUCGGAUUAGCUAGUUGGUGGGGUAAAGGCCUACCAAGGCGACGAUCUGUAGCGGGUCUGAGAGGAUGAUCCGCCACACUGGGACUGAGACACGGCCCAGACUCCUACGGGAGGCAGCAGUGGGGAAUAUUGGACAAUGGGGGGAACCCUGAUCCAGCCAUGCCGCGUGUGUGAAGAAGGCCUUAUGGUUGUAAAGCACUUUAAGCGAGGAGGAGGCUACUUUAGUUAAUACCUAGAGAUAGUGGACGUUACUCGCAGAAUAAGCACCGGCUAACUCUGUGCCAGCAGCCGCGGUAAUACAGAGGGUGCGAGCGUUAAUCGGAUUUACUGGGCGUAAAGCGUGCGUAGGCGGCUUAUUAAGUCGGAUGUGAAAUCCCCGAGCUUAACUUGGGAAUUGCAUUCGAUACUGGUGAGCUAGAGUAUGGGAGAGGAUGGUAGAAUUCCAGGUGUAGCGGUGAAAUGCGUAGAGAUCUGGAGGAAUACCGAUGGCGAAAGCAGCCAUCUGGCCUAAUACUGACGCUGAGGUACGAAAGCAUGGGGAGCAAACACGAUUAGAUACCC